CCUACGGGAGGCAGCAGCAAGGAAUUUUGUGCAAUGGGAGAAAGCCUGACACAGCGACGCCGUGUGGGGGAUGAAGGCCUUCGGGUUGUAAACCCCUUUUCUCAGGGAAGAAAAAUGACGGUACCUGAGGAAUGAGUCGUGGCUAACUACGUGCCAGCAGCCGCGGUAAU
Molecule: ribosomal RNA, 170 nt
Filed under: uncultured bacterium
Lineage: Bacteria
Description: partial 16S ribosomal RNA
Rfam family: Bacterial small subunit ribosomal RNA
Source: RNAcentral